Molecule: transfer RNA, 72 nt
Filed under: Candidatus Lachnoclostridium stercoravium
Lineage: Bacteria; Bacillati; Bacillota; Clostridia; Lachnospirales; Lachnospiraceae
Description: tRNA-Thr
Rfam family: tRNA
About the family: Transfer RNA (tRNA) molecules are approximately 80 nucleotides in length. Their secondary structure includes four short double-helical elements and three loops (D, anti-codon, and T loops).
Source: RNAcentral
GCUUCCGUGGCUCAGGGGUAGAGCAUUUCACUCGUAAUGAAAGGGUCGCCGGUUCAAAUCCGGCCGGGAGCU